RNAcentral lists this ribosomal RNA (508 nucleotides) under uncultured bacterium. Its description in RNAcentral is "partial 16S ribosomal RNA". It matches the Rfam family "Bacterial small subunit ribosomal RNA", at positions 28 to 507 of the family's 1533-position model. The record is from RNAcentral.
GACGAACGCUGGCGGCGUGCUUAACACAUGCAAGUCGAACGGGCCUUGUCCCCUUUUUUUUUGGGGGUGGGGUUAGUGGCGAACGGGUGAGUAACACGUGAGUAACCUGCCCCUCACUUCUGGAUAACCGCUUGAAAGGGUGGCUAAUACGGGGUGUUCUGGCCUGCUCGCAUGGGUGGGUUUGGAAAGAUUCGACCGGUUUUGGUUGUUUUGGUGGGGGAUGGGCUCGCGGCCUAUCAGCUUGUUGGGGGGGUGAUGGCCUGCCAAGGCUUUGACGGGUAGCCGGCCUGAGAGGGGGUGCGGUCACACUGGGACUGAGACACGGCCCAGACUCCUACGGGAGGCAGCAGUGGGGAAUAUUGCAAAAGGGGCGCAAGGCUGAUGCAGCGACGCCGCGUGAGGGAUGGAGGCCUUCGGGUUGUGAACCUCUUUCGCCAGUGAAGAAGGUCCUGCUCUUUGUGGUGGGGUUGACGGUAGCUGGGUUAAUGAAGCGCCGGCUAACUACGUG